Rosa rugosa (rugosa rose) is the source of this 1207-nucleotide long non-coding RNA. RefSeq lists it as uncharacterized. Lineage: Eukaryota; Viridiplantae; Streptophyta; Magnoliopsida; Rosales; Rosaceae. The record is from RefSeq and is a predicted model, not a curated record. The transcript is spliced from 5 exons.
UUAUUUUUGACCUUUUUUCUAUAUAAAAUUUAUAAAGAGAUUUUCCUAUUAAUAAUUAAUUUAUCCAAAUUUACAAAUUAAUCAUUCCUUGUUUGCAGCAGUAUUGGAAAUAAGCCAAAAAUAAUAUUUUUGACCUUUUUUCUAUUUAACAUUUUAUUAGAGCUUUUUCUAUUAAUAAUUUAAUACACAUACUUGCAAAUUAACUACAGAUAUAUAUAGGUACUCAAUGCACUACCAUUUUUUGCACACUAGUAUCCGUAUUCAUAGUUCAUUAGCCAUGGAUUUCUGUAUGAAGGCAUAGCAAAAUGUAGUUGAUUUUUUGGGCCGUUUUAAGAUAAUAAAUUCACAUUUAUAUAUGUUCCAUAUAAAAAACAAACAAAUUUCUCAUUAACCACGGGAAACCGUAGUUGAUGUUGAUUAACACAUAAAAGAGUAUCCAAUAUGAUUUGUAUUUACGUAUGAAAAGGAUUUCCAUAUAUAUCCAAUGUGUAUCCAAGGCUUUAGUUUUUUAUUUUAUUUUAUUUAAUCAUCCAAUGACUUUAUAUAAUCAUAACAAUUCCAGAUUGAAUUAUCCAUAUAUAGUAUCGAUCAGCAUGUGAACUGGAGUAGUCCUUAUCAACUUCUAUUUCUUCAAUUUCCCGCUUGUACGCCCAAAAAGAAAAAAAGAAAAAACAAGAACACGAAAGAGAGUGGGAACAAAAGGAAUUUAGGCGGGACGAUUGGCGCCUGAUAAGAGCCCCAAUCCCUCAAACCUCGCUAAUCGAUUAGAUUAAAAGGGCGUUCUGCUUUUCACUGACCAAGGAAGCAUAGGGAAGUAGAGGGUUUGCGAAAUCGACAUGGCUGGGUUUUUAGGAAGCGGGUUCGUGUGCUUUUAGAGGAUGGUGACCAUCAACAAGAGGAACCGGUCUCAAAAGAGAAUGAAUCAGUCAACAGGGACACGAACCUAUAUAUGCUAGUUUGGCUCAUGAAUAUAACUUCUGCAUGGUAAAAAGCCAGAUAGAUGGGAAUUGUUCAAAUUAACACACCAAAAGGCAGGAACUCAAGAGCCAAUUGAUGCAGCAGGUGCAAAAGCAAUUGCGGAUUUUGAAGAGGCCGAACAAAAGAGGCUAAGCAUGAAUCAACACAUCACUGCUCCAGAAAUCCGUGAAGAAAUGUAUGCUAAGGUUCUUGGUAAGGAGAAGGGAAACUGAGUAAGGGGUCUUGGAGC